RNAcentral lists this long non-coding RNA (2827 nucleotides) under Apteryx haastii (Great spotted kiwi). RNAcentral describes it as "lncRNA (ENSAHAG00000000686.1)". The record is from RNAcentral. Lineage: Eukaryota; Metazoa; Chordata; Aves; Apterygiformes; Apterygidae.
AUGGGGACUGCGGGGUGCUGGCAUCUCCGGGGCGAAGCGAGGGUGACGCCCCUGUUUGCUGCUGGCCAGGGGUGCCGUGGGGCUGGCGUGCCGUGGGGCAGGCGGGCGGUCCGUGCCGUGCAGCCGGAGUCGGGGGCUGCCGGGGAGCCCGGGGGGGGGGGGGGGGGUGUCGCAGGCGAAGGCGCCGCUCGCCACGCGGCCCCUGGCCCGGCUCCGCUGCCCCCAGCGCCGCUGCUGCCCCGGCUCCUGUGCGCUCCCGGGCAGUUCGCCUGCGCGGCGCUGGGCUGCGUGGAGGCCGCCUCCGUGUGCGACGGGCAGCAGGACUGCCUGGACGGCUCCGACGAGGCGCAGUGCGGUGAGAGCGGGAUGCUCCGGGGGCUGGGAUGCUCCAGGGAUGCUCUGGGGAGCCAGGGUGCUCCAAGAAGUGCUGGGAUGCUCUGGGGAGGCUCUGGGGGGGCGGAUUGCUCUGGAGAGCCUCGGGGAUGCUCCAGGGGGCCGGGAUGCUCCUGGGAGCCAGGGUGCUUCAAGAAGUGCUGGGAUGCUCUGGGGAUGCUUUGGGGGGCCAGGAUGCUCUGGGGAGCACUGGAGAUGCUCCAGGGAGUCCUGCGGAUGCUGUGGGGAUGCUCCAGGGAUGCCGAGCCCCCAGCCCUGCCGGCGAGCCCACACUCUCCCCCCUUGCGCGCCGUGGAGCCGGCUGGGCUCAGGCACCCUCUGCCCGCGGCGGUGCGAGCCCGGCUCUGUGCCUGCCCCACAGGCGGCCCCACAGCCUCGGCCGGCCCCACGGUGCCCACGGCCUGGCCCCCCGCCUGCUCCGCCAAGCAGUUCUCCUGCGGCUCCGGGGAGUGCCUGGCGCCGGACAAGCGCUGCGACCUGCACCGCGACUGCGCCGACGGCUCCGACGAGAGCGACUGCGGUACGGGGGCCGGGAACCGCGGCUGGGGGGACCGUGGGGGACCCGAAAUGGGGGGGCCGACUCUGGGUUCAGAGCCCGGUCUGGGACGGGAUGAGCCGAUGCCCCACGGGGACCAGGGCAGCAGAGCCCCGCGGGGGGGCUGCUCCCGGGGGGACGGGGACCCCGCGGAGGGCAACGGGGGCCGGUGCGCCCGAUGCCGAGGCCGCCGCGUCCCUCCCGCCAGUCGACUGCAUCGUGUCCGCCUGGAGCGGCUGGAGCGAGUGCAGCCGCUCGUGCGGGCUGGGGGUCACCUUCCGCCGGCGGGACCUGCUGCGAAACGCCCUGCCGGGGGGCGCCUGCGACCGCCGCGAGUUCGACAGCCGGUCCUGCUUCCUCCGCGCCUGCCCAGGUACGGGCGUCCCUGCCCGGGGUGCGCGUGGGGUCCCCAUCCCCUGCCCGGGGUGCACGUGGGGUCCCCAUCCCCUGCCUGGGGUCUGCGUGGGGUCCCCAUCCCCUGCCUGGGGUCUGCAUGGGGUCCCUAUUCCCUGCCUGGGGUCUGCGUGGGGUCCCCAUCCCCUGCCUGGGGUCUGCAUGGGGUCCCUAUUCCCUGCCCGGGGUGCGCGUGGGGUCCCCAUCCCCUGCCUGGGGUGCGCCUGGGGUCCCUAUUCCCUGCCUGGGGUCUGCGUGGGGUCCCCAUCCCCUGCCUGGGGUGUGCGUGGGGUCCACAUCCCCUGCCUGGGGUGUGCGUGGGGUCCCCAUCCCCUGCCUGGGAUCUGCGUGGGGUCCACAUCCCCUGCCUGGGGUACAUGUGGGGUCCCCAUCCCCUGCCUGGAGUCUGCGUGGGGUCCCCAUUCCCUGCCUGGGGUGCACAUGGGAUCCCCAUCCCCUGCCUAGGGUGCACGUGGGAUCCCAAUCCCCUGCCCGGGGUGCAAGUGGGGACCCCAUUCCCUGCCUGGGGUGUGCAUGGGGUCCCUGUUGCCCACCCGGGGUGCACGUGGGGUCCCCAUCUCCUGCCUGGGGUGUGUGUGGGUUCCCCAUCCCCUGCCCAGGGUGCAUGUGGGUUCCCCAUACCGUGCACGUGGGGUCCCCAUUCCCUGCCUGGGGUGUGCAUGGGGUCCCCAUUCACUGCCCAGGGUGCACAUGGGGUCCCCAUCUCCUGCCUGGGGUGUGUGUGGGGUCCCUAUUCCCUGCCCGGGGUGCACGUGGGGUCCCCAUUCCCUGCCUGGGGUGUGUGUGGGUUCCCCAUCCCCUGCCCAGGGUGCACAUGGGCUCCCCAUCUCCUGCCCGGGGUCUGCGUGGGGUCCCCAUUCCCUGCCUGGGGUACAUGUGGGGUCCCCAUCCCCUGCCUGGGGUCUGCGUGGGGUCCCCAUUCCCUGCCUGGGGUGCACAUGGGAUCCCCAUCCCCUGCCUAGGGUGCACGUGGGAUUCCCCAUCCCCUGCCGGGGGUGCAAGUGGGGUCCCUAUUCCCUGCCUGGGGUGUGCAUGGGGUCCCCAUCCCCUGCCUGGGGUGUGCAUGGGGUCCCCAUUCACUGCCCAGGGUGCACGUGGGGUCCCCAUUGCCCACCCGGGGUGCACGUGGGGUCCCCAUCUCCUGCCUGGGGUGUGUGUGGGUUCCCCAUCCCCUGCCCAGGGUGCACAUGGGAUCCCCAUCCCCUGCCUAGGGUGCACGUGGGAUCCCAAUCCCCUGCCCGGGGUGCAAGUGGGGUCCCCAUUCACUGCCUGGGGUGUGCAUGGGGUCCCUGUUGCCCACCCGGGGUGCACGUGGGGUCCCCAUCUCCUGCCUGGGGUGUGUGUGGGUUCCCCAUCACCUGCCCAGGGUGCACAUGGGGUCCCCAUCUCCUGCCUGGGGUGUGUGUGGGUUCCCCAUCCCCUGCCCAGGGUGCACAUGGGGUCCCCAUCUCCUGCCUGGGGUGUGCGUGGGGUCCCCAUCCCCUG